This 825-nucleotide ribosomal RNA is filed under the name Triticum aestivum (bread wheat). Its description in RNAcentral is "partial small subunit ribosomal RNA". Lineage: Eukaryota; Viridiplantae; Streptophyta; Magnoliopsida; Poales; Poaceae. The record is from RNAcentral.
AUGAGGACAAAGAUGGCGGCGGCGCUGGUCCGGGCCUCCGGGGGGAUCGGACCUCCUACGCCUGCCCGAUCCUCCUACUUCUCCUCGCGCUGCUCCUCGCUGUCCCCGCUCGCGGCCAUCUCCAACGCCUCCUCCCACGCCUACGCCUUCGCGAGCCGUCAGCCGAUGCCCGCCCCGGAUCCCACCUUCUUCGAUGAUGUCGUCGACGCCAUCGUCGACAAGGCGCGCUCGUCAACGCCGUGUAGUGCUACGAGUUCCCCGCCCACGUGGGGCCCCGUGGUCGCGCUGGCGCGGGCCUCCGACGGGGUCGUCGACUGGAGCCUCCUCGACGCCCCCGUGGUGGAGGAGGUGGUUGGGCCCAACGGGGUCGACUUCGUGACCGGCGAUGGUGACCUGGCGUUCGGCUCCGGCAUUAGGGUCCGUGACAUGGUAGGGCCGUUCGAGCUGGUGGUCUGCGAUGGCGCUGGCAGGGGCCGUGCAGAGCUCCAGUUGCCGUCGUGUCUGCACCACCUGGCACACGCGCUGGUUGAUGAAGCCGCUGGGCCGGAAGGCCCUCUCAUUGCCAUGCUAAUGAGUAUCACGACGAACAUGGCCCCCACCUCAAUGCCUCCCUGUCGGCGUGUUUCUAAAGAAAGGGACAAGGAUCAGGGCUAUAAGAUUGUUGAAAGACUCAGAGACAUGUACCAUGAAUCGGUUUUCUCAUGUAACUUGAACUGCUGCUGGUUUAAAUUUCAGUUCCGUAAGCUGCGGCACACAUGGUCUGCCUCCGUGUCGUCCUACCUGCUUCAGGGCCCUCUACUUCUUCCCCCAAGAUUGCCAUUAUGA